GCAAGUCGAACGUGAAGGUUGAGAUGCUUACUUCGGUUUUAAUCUUGAUUGGAAAGUGGCGAACGGGUGAGUAACACGUAGGUGAUCUGCCUCAAAGUGGGGGAUAACCAUUAGACAUGAUGGCUAAUACCGCAUAGUUCUGUUGGUAUGGGAAUAUUUACAGGUAAAGCUCUGGCGCUUUGAGAGGAGCCUGCGUCCGAUCAGCUAGUUGGUGGGGUAAUGGCCCACCAAGGCGACGACCGGUAGCUGGUCUGAGAGGACGAUC
RNAcentral lists this ribosomal RNA (265 nucleotides) under uncultured bacterium. RNAcentral's name for it is "partial 16S ribosomal RNA". It matches the Rfam family "Bacterial small subunit ribosomal RNA", at positions 57 to 305 of the family's 1533-position model. The record is from RNAcentral.